RNAcentral lists this ribosomal RNA (274 nucleotides) under uncultured bacterium. Its description in RNAcentral is "partial 16S ribosomal RNA". It matches the Rfam family "Bacterial small subunit ribosomal RNA", at positions 523 to 796 of the family's 1533-position model. The record is from RNAcentral.
CUACGGAGGGUGCAAGCGUUAAUCGGAAUUACUGGGCGUAAAGCGCGCGUAGGCGGUUUGGUAAGUCGGAUGUGAAAGCCCCGGGCUCAACCUGGGAAUUGCAUUCGAUACUGUCAGGCUAGAGUAUGGUAGAGGGAAGCGGAAUUCCAGGUGUAGCGGUGAAAUGCGUAGAUAUCUGGAGGAACAUCAGUGGCGAAGGCGGCUUCCUGGAUCAAUACUGACGCUGAGGUGCGAAAGCGUGGGGAGCAAACAGGAUUAGAUACCCCGGUAGUCC